This 372-nucleotide long non-coding RNA is filed under the name Homo sapiens (human). RNAcentral describes it as "non-protein coding lnc-KHDRBS3-8:3". Lineage: Eukaryota; Metazoa; Chordata; Mammalia; Primates; Hominidae. The record is from RNAcentral.
UGGACCUGCCCCCAUCACCAGGCCAGCUUCCCACCUGCACGUGCAGCUCUUUCUUCUUUUGCAGGAGGCUGGCUCUGCUCAUUAGACAUGCAACAAAGAGCUGGCCUGUGGAGCACACAUCCAUAUUCAUAACUCAAGUCAGCUGGAAAGUUGUACAUUUUUCUUUCUGGGAAGUCAUGGCGACAAAGACUGAAGACCCAGGCAGCACAAAUGUGAAUGAUGGGUGAGUCCUUCUGCUUAAAAACCUUUCAAAGGCCUCAUCUUUUAUAAAGUAUAAAUUUCUUUUAUCUUAUUAUGUAAGGAACUGAGUUAUCUUGCUCCUGCUUAAUUCUGAUUCUUUUUCUUUAUAUUUUCUUAGAUGAAUUUUGAACA